This is a non-coding RNA of Parasteatoda tepidariorum (common house spider), 1761 nucleotides long. The record is from RefSeq and is a predicted model, not a curated record. NCBI's taxonomy places the organism in Eukaryota, Metazoa, Arthropoda, Arachnida, Araneae, Theridiidae.
UUUGAUACAAAAAACUGAAAAUAGAAAUUUCAAGUGACCGCGCAUUCAUAAUCAUAAACACUUAAACUUUUACAAAUUUCUUUACGAAAUUUCUUUUCUUGCGGGGGCAACGAGGAGCAAAAACAAACUCAACAAUAAGACGGACAGAAAUGAAAUGUUAAAAGCGAAUUGUUCAUACAAUUAAAUGAGCCAUAUUUUUAAUUUAAUAGUAUCAAUUUACGAAUUUUUAAAUAAUAGUUUAGAGCUAUAAUUUCUCUCUUGUUAAUACUUCAUGAUUAAUACAUGAGAGAGAUUCGUUUUAUCAACAAAGUUUUUACCCGUCCAUACAUUUUUAAUCUCUAACUCUUCUUUUGUUUCUAAACUCAGAAUAAAUAUGUUUAAACUAUUGUGUCCCCAAACGAUGAAAUUUAUUACUUGCGUAUAUUAUUAGUUUCAAAUGUAAUUUUAAAGUAAUAUUGUUGAUCUGUAUUGUACCUUUUCAUUUUUAAGAAAAUGCAUAAUUUUUUUCCUUCUAAUUCUUGAAACUCCUACACUCUUCAAUAAGUCUGCUUAGCUUCACAAUGCUUAACAUUCUCGUUGCUUUACCUUAACUAGGAUAUGAAGCAUUUGUUUUCAACUAGUUAACCAUAAUCUGAUUAAAUAUUCCUAAGAGAUAAGAUAUAUUCUUAGGGUAUUCAAAUGUCUCUCAUCUUACUUAUCUUAUUAUGAGCAUUUCUCUCAUAAAAUGAAAAUUAUGUAAAUCCCUGAUGUGGAAAAUUGAAAUUCCUUGCACCUCUAGGCUAAGUGAAAAUAUUCUAUCUAAGAUGUUCAAAGAUACUAAAAGGAAUGUUAUUGGAUUAUCCGAUAUGCAUAUCGUUAUAAAUGUAUUUGAUUUUUAGUAAUAUUUCGAAUUUAAUUUUUUCCUAAAAGGGAAUUCUACAUAUUGAAAUGGAAUUUUAAAAAAAUUAUAAUUUUCUAUUCCGUUAUUUUAUAUGGUGCGUUGACAGGUUUUCAAAUGUCACUUGUUUUUCUUGAAAAUUUGCUUCUGAGAUUAAAGUACAGUUAGACUUCGUUUAAAAUUCACUUUUCUGGAACAACACUUUUAAAAUUAAAUGUUUAGUUUUCUACCAUUGUCAAAUCUAAGGUGUAUAUUCAUGAUUUGGUUAUGUUUUUGAUGCAGGUUAUUUUGAUAAGAAGAGUAGUAAAAAAUUCUCUUAGAGUGUCAUUUGAUCAUUUCCCAAACAUUUUGGUUGAGUAAUAUGACAAGUCGUUAGGUACUUAUCUCGUGUUUUUCUAACUUUAGUUUUCAUGAGAAGAUCAGGAAGAGAUCUUCCUAGCGUGUCAUUCGAUCAUUUCCCAACCAUCUUGGUAGUGUAACAUGGCAAGUCGUUAGACACUUAUUUUGUGUUUUCUCUACUUUAGUUUCAUAAGAAGAUCAGUGAGAGAUCUUCCUAGUGUGUCAUUUGAUUAUUUCCCAAACAUUUUGGUUGAGUAAUGUGACAAGUCGUUAGGUACUUAUUUCGUGUUUUUCUUACUUUAGUUUCCAUAAGAAGAUCAGGAGGAGAUCUUUCUAGCGUGUCAUUGGAUCAUUUCCCAACCAUCUUAGUAGUCUAACAUGGCAAGUCGUUAGACAAUUAUUUUAUGUUUUCUUUACUUUAGUUUCAUAAGAAGAUCAGCGAGAGAUCUUCCUAGUGUGUCAUUCGACUAUUUCCCAAACAUUUUGGUUGAGUAAUGUGACAAGUCGUUAGGUACUUAUUUUGUGUUUUUCUUACUUUAGUUUUC